GCCAGCUCGUCACCUCCGGAGACAGUCCUCAUCCCUCGGGAAAGGCAGGCUGUCCUUCUGCUCUGGCACGCUGCUCGCAGCCUCGGCUGCUGGCAUUCCUUAAGCCACAUAAAGUUAAAGACUCGUUGUCCUGGGACACACACCCCUGCAUCAGCAGAGCACAGGCUGUUACAAAUGCAGAUGUUUUCCUCUGCAUGUCCCGGAAGGCACAGUUCAACAGUUUCCUUUCACUGAAACUGAUUAACAACAACUAAAUCAACCAGGUUUUCAGGGCCCAGCAACCUACCUGGGCCAUUCCACAAUGGCCAGGGGAGAUCCCUGCCCAAGGUGAGAGGUAGCCUUUUGGGGUUGCAGGGAUUUUCCCGCUGUCCAAUAUUGUUAGAAAGAGCCCAGGAGCAUUUAAAUAACCUGUUGUCAGGCACCCAGGAUGCCAAGAUUAGGGAAUGCACAAGCCCCCUGAUGGCACCCACCUCCUGUGGCUCCUCCAGGUGUCUGCCUAAGUAUUCGGCAUGUGACCUUCUGCCAGAAUGUAACUUCGUCACUGUCUCAGAGUCAUGUGAUCACAACUCCCCAUGCUCCCAAAUUCUCCCAAUUAGAAGUCAUUGUAAGCCAAAAUCAUCUCUGGAAGUGCUUCUCUGGGGUGUGUCUUGUCUUCUGGAGCUAAAACUCUCUUGAUGGGGAGAGAUUUGACCCAGGGCCUUAAGGGCAGCCACAGGCAUGGAGAGGGAAGAUCCCAGGGCUGAGAAGGUUUCCUGAAAAGCAGGAUAUGGCACCACAGAGAAGCACCACUGAGGCUGGCAUCCGGCCCCACAACCUCCUGUAGCCAAAUAUCCUGGUGCUGCGGGACCCCCAGCAGAGCAGUACUCAACACGGCGUUGUGAGCGCAAAGUGGGCCACGUUAGAGAUGUGCUGGUUUUUCUAGUGGAAGAAAGCUGAAGUCAUCUUAGCCCAACCUGGACAUGGGUGAUGGUUUGCACGCUCACCUGCGCCCUGGGAUAAAGUGGGAUAGCUCCCAUGGCUCCCUUCUGGGGUCUCCCCUUCCUGUCCCAUGAGCACAUGGUGGAACAGCGUGCUGGCACUGGCAGGCUGACAGAGGACAAGGAAGGGACCUGGACCUGGCCGGUCAGGACAAUGCUGGGGAAGCCCCAAGCACCCAUGCAGAUGCCUCAACCCUGGCCUGAGUUGGUGUGAUUUGUCAGCAUCCCCCUCACUAGGGGAUGGAGGGCAGGGAGACGAGGGUCGGUAUGUCACAAUUAAAGCUCACCUAAAUAAAUAAAGAGUUGGUGUUUGUGACGGUUUCUAACAGACAACUGUUCCCCUUUAAAUUAGCGAGUCUCAUUUAAAGGUUGCCCAGCACUUUCCACAUUUAGUUCCAAUCUAGUGCAUGGAAUACAAAGUUCCCACUUGAAUUUCAUUUCCCGGUUCUUUCUGCACAGACGCCUCUUUGGGUGCCCCUCUUAUGCAAGUAAAUAUGACAUCUGGUGAAGGAAACCUGCAAAGGACAGAGGCCGGGUAUUAAGGACUUGAUUUGCAUGAAUGCAGCCAUCAUUCUUUGUUCUCAUCUAGUAUGUUGAUAGGAUAUACCUCUCAAAAAUUUUGUUUUGACAGAAACAUCUUAGUGCAUGUGAGGAAGCAUUGCAUAACUUUGCAAAGUGGAAUCCUAUUACUGCCAGGUGACCAUUUCCCAGAUCACAGCCUGAAUUAGCUGGCUGGUACAUCCUGUACAUUGGGGCAUGUUUACAAAUUAAAGCUGGAUUCAGAGAGGUGUGACCACUCUGUAUCUAGAAAAUUAAUCCUGGCUCCUGGAAGCCUCACAAGCAGAAAAUGACACACAAGGGUUAAUGCAAUUUCCAUCCCAGCGAGUUUUGCUUGCCAUUAUUUUCUUUUUCUCUUCUCCCUUUUAACUGAUUCGCAGCAUAAAAUCUUCCUGGACACCUAAUUAUCAAGCCAGCUCACAGUCACAGCUGUCUGCUUGGAGAACCCAUUAGAUGUAGCAGUUGAAGCCUCCAUAAUUCCCCAAACUUCCCGGUUGUGAAUAUUAAGAAAAGAUUUUUACAUGUCAUAUGCAAUUCGAAGGUGGUGUGAAUGGCCUCGGAGAUGACGAGGCCUGAAUGCUUGUCCAUCACGCCAUUCACUGGUUACAGGUGGUCUCAUUUUCCACUCUCAGAUAUCAGCUGGCUAUGACAGCAGGCACUUAAUUUGCAUGUUCGACAGACAACAAACGGCCCCGUGCAUGUCAAAAUAGGUGGUGAUGCGUGACAGUUUCUACACAAUGCUGUCUCCUCUUUGCAUGACCUUUGACCUCUCUGCAUGUCUU
Long non-coding RNA from Manis pentadactyla (Chinese pangolin), 2317 nucleotides. RefSeq lists it as uncharacterized. The transcript is spliced from 3 exons. NCBI's taxonomy places the organism in Eukaryota, Metazoa, Chordata, Mammalia, Pholidota, Manidae. The record is from RefSeq and is a predicted model, not a curated record.